Molecule: ribosomal RNA, 24 nt
Filed under: Steinernema abbasi
Lineage: Eukaryota; Metazoa; Nematoda; Chromadorea; Rhabditida; Steinernematidae
Description: partial 18S ribosomal RNA
Source: RNAcentral
UUUUGUGUUUCGUAGUGACUGCGG